UGGGGAAUUUUGGACAAUGGGGGCAACCCUGAUCCAGCCAUUCCGCGUGAGUGAAGAAGGCCUUCGGGUUGUAAAGCUCUUUCAGCAGGAACGAAACGGCAGGCUUUAAUACGGUCUGCUAAUGACGGUACCUGCAGAAGAAGCACCGGCUAACUACGUGCCAGCAGCCGCGGUAAUACGUAGGGUGCGAGCGUUAAUCGGAAUUACUGGGCGUAAAGCGUGCGCAGGCGGCGACAUAAGACAGAUGUGAAAUCCCCGGGCUCAACCUGGGAAUGCCAUUCAAAACUGUUCAUCUAGAGUAUGGUAGAGGGAAGUGGAAUUUCAGGUGUAGGGGUGAAAUCCGUUGAUAUCGUGGGGAACACCAAAGGCGAAGGCAGCGCACUGGCCAAAAUCUGACGCUCACACACGAAAGCUAGGGUAGCGAAGAGGAUUAGAUACCCCUGUAGUCCCUGAGCGGGCUGGCAAGGCGCAU
This 472-nucleotide ribosomal RNA is filed under the name uncultured bacterium. RNAcentral's name for it is "bacterial SSU rRNA". It matches the Rfam family "Bacterial small subunit ribosomal RNA", at positions 355 to 825 of the family's 1533-position model. The record is from RNAcentral.